Molecule: long non-coding RNA, 722 nt
Organism: Panicum hallii
Lineage: Eukaryota; Viridiplantae; Streptophyta; Magnoliopsida; Poales; Poaceae
Exons: 3
Source: RefSeq, a predicted model, not a curated record
UGUGCCGUUGCCCGUUGGAGAUUAUCGUGCCAAGUAUCGUCCGACCUGUAAACCAUCUGGAUCGGAGCUGCAUUCCGUCCAGGAAGGAGAACCGCCGUAUAUGUACAGCAGCGAAGCUGUCAGUUUGGCUGUAAGCGGGUGUGCCGUAGGAGGUGCACUCAGUUGAAGGUAAAGCUAGAGGAGAUAAGAGAGGAAAAACGAAGAAAAAAGUGGAAGAAGGUGUGGACUGUGGUUAGAGGAGGAGGAAGAUCCAGCAAUCCUCCUACAUGUGACCGCAACGGUAUCUCUCAAGACUGACAGGAUUGGCUGACUAGUUGGUACAUGAGAGUAUACGGCAAAUGACUGACGAGCUACAGUUCAGGGGCGACAACAAACAAACGAACUACUGAAGGAAAAAAUGACAAACAAACAAAACUACUGAAGACGAAAGGACAGGCUUCAGCAUGGACGGACAAUCAGCUACGAGAGCUAUGACAGUGACGUGGAUGAUAUAUAUGAUAAGAUCAGAAUAUGACUUGGUAACAUCAAAAGACUUCCCAACCUUCCGUUAUCUCUGCAAUAGAGGUGCCACCUAAUCGGACAUUCAGACAAGCAAUGCGUGCUCAAUUAGCGCUAGCUCUAAGACUUGCUUAUGAUUGAAGAUCAGACAAACAUUGCACCAGCUGAAAACGAAGACUGUAUACUAUAUAGGAGUGUAUGGUCAUCUAUUCACCAAAUCAUCA